Molecule: transfer RNA, 73 nt
Filed under: Rhipicephalus microplus (southern cattle tick)
Lineage: Eukaryota; Metazoa; Arthropoda; Arachnida; Ixodida; Ixodidae
Description: tRNA-Met
Rfam family: tRNA
About the family: Transfer RNA (tRNA) molecules are approximately 80 nucleotides in length. Their secondary structure includes four short double-helical elements and three loops (D, anti-codon, and T loops).
Source: Rfam by way of RNAcentral
ACCACUGUAGCUCAAUUGGUAGAGCAUCGGACACAUUAUUCGAAGGUCGCAGGUUCGGUCCCUGCUAGUGGUA